GGGGGUAUAGCUCAGUGGUAGAGCACUUGCCUGUCAAGUAUGAGGCCCUGAGUUCCAUCA
Molecule: transfer RNA, 60 nt
Filed under: Ictidomys tridecemlineatus (thirteen-lined ground squirrel)
Lineage: Eukaryota; Metazoa; Chordata; Mammalia; Rodentia; Sciuridae
Description: Spermophilus tridecemlineatus (thirteen-lined ground squirrel) tRNA
Rfam family: tRNA
About the family: Transfer RNA (tRNA) molecules are approximately 80 nucleotides in length. Their secondary structure includes four short double-helical elements and three loops (D, anti-codon, and T loops). Further hydrogen bonds mediate the characteristic L-shaped molecular structure. tRNAs have two regions of fundamental functional importance: the anti-codon, which is responsible for specific mRNA codon recognition, and the 3' end, to which the tRNAs corresponding amino acid is attached (by aminoacyl-tRNA synthetases). tRNAs cope with the degeneracy of the genetic code in two manners: having more than one tRNA (with a specific anti-codon) for a particular amino acid; and 'wobble' base-pairing, i.e. permitting non-standard base-pairing at the 3rd anti-codon position.
Source: Rfam by way of RNAcentral